Molecule: ribosomal RNA, 2922 nt
Filed under: Klebsiella pneumoniae
Lineage: Bacteria; Pseudomonadati; Pseudomonadota; Gammaproteobacteria; Enterobacterales; Enterobacteriaceae
Description: 23S ribosomal RNA
Rfam family: Bacterial large subunit ribosomal RNA
Source: RNAcentral
GGGUUGUGAGGUUAAGCGACUAAGCGUACACGGUGGAUGCCCUGGCAGUCAGAGGCGAUGAAGGACGUGCUAAUCUGCGAAAAGCGUCGGUAAGGUGAUAUGAACCGUUAUAACCGGCGAUGUCCGAAUGGGGAAACCCAGUGCAAUUCGUUGCACUAUCGUUAACUGAAUACAUAGGUUAACGAGGCGAACCGGGGGAACUGAAACAUCUAAGUACCCCGAGGAAAAGAAAUCAACCGAGAUUCCCCCAGUAGCGGCGAGCGAACGGGGAGCAGCCCAGAGUCUGAAUCAGCUUGUGUGUUAGUGGAACGGUCUGGAAAGUCCGACGGUACAGGGUGAUAGUCCCGUACACCAAAAUGCACAGGUUGUGAACUCGAAGAGUAGGGCGGGACACGUGGUAUCCUGUCUGAAUAUGGGGGACCAUCCUCCAAGGCUAAAUACUCCUGACUGACCGAUAGUGAACCAGUACCGUGAGGGAAAGGCGAAAAGAACCCCGGCGAGGGGAGUGAAAAAGAACCUGAAACCGUGUACGUACAAGCAGUGGGAGCACCUUCGGGUGUGACUGCGUACCUUUUGUAUAAUGGGUCAGCGACUUAUAUUCUGUAGCAAGGUUAACCGUAUAGGGGAGCCGCAGGGAAACCGAGUCUUAACUGGGCGUUAAGUUGCAGGGUAUAGACCCGAAACCCGGUGAUCUAGCCAUGGGCAGGUUGAAGGUUGGGUAACACUAACUGGAGGACCGAACCGACUAAUGUUGAAAAAUUAGCGGAUGACUUGUGGCUGGGGGUGAAAGGCCAAUCAAACCGGGAGAUAGCUGGUUCUCCCCGAAAGCUAUUUAGGUAGCGCCUCGUGAACUCAUCUUCGGGGGUAGAGCACUGUUUCGGCUAGGGGGUCAUCCCGACUUACCAACCCGAUGCAAACUACGAAUACCGAAGAAUGUUAUCACGGGAGACACACGGCGGGUGCUAACGUCCGUCGUGAAGAGGGAAACAACCCAGACCGCCAGCUAAGGUCCCAAAGUCAUGGUUAAGUGGGAAACGAUGUGGGAAGGCACAGACAGCCAGGAUGUUGGCUUAGAAGCAGCCAUCAUUUAAAGAAAGCGUAAUAGCUCACUGGUCGAGUCGGCCUGCGCGGAAGAUGUAACGGGGCUAAACCAUGCACCGAAGCUGCGGCAGCGACACUAUGUGUUGUUGGGUAGGGGAGCGUUCUGUAAGUCUGCGAAGGUGACCUGUGAGGGUUGCUGGAGGUAUCAGAAGUGCGAAUGCUGACAUAAGUAACGAUAAAGCGGGUGAAAAGCCCGCUCGCCGGAAGACCAAGGGUUCCUGUCCAACGUUAAUCGGGGCAGGGUGAGUCGACCCCUAAGGCGAGGCCGAAAGGCGUAGUCGAUGGGAAACAGGUUAAUAUUCCUGUACUUGGUGUUACUGCGAAGGGGGGACGGAGAAGGCUAUGUUAGCCGGGCGACGGUUGUCCCGGUUUAAGCAUGUAGGCUGAUUAUCCAGGCAAAUCCGGAUAAUCAAGGCUGAGGUGUGAUGACGAGGCACUACGGUGCUGAAGUAACAAAUGCCCUGCUUCCAGGAAAAGCCUCUAAGCAUCAGGUAACAUUAAAUCGUACCCCAAACCGACACAGGUGGUCAGGUAGAGAAUACCAAGGCGCUUGAGAGAACUCGGGUGAAGGAACUAGGCAAAAUGGUGCCGUAACUUCGGGAGAAGGCACGCUGGUGUGUAGGUGAAGUCCCUGCGGAUGGAGCUGAGACCAGUCGAAGAUACCAGCUGGCUGCAACUGUUUAUUAAAAACACAGCACUGUGCAAACACGAAAGUGGACGUAUACGGUGUGACGCCUGCCCGGUGCCGGAAGGUUAAUUGAUGGGGUUAUCCGUAAGGAGAAGCUCUUGAUCGAAGCCCCGGUAAACGGCGGCCGUAACUAUAACGGUCCUAAGGUAGCGAAAUUCCUUGUCGGGUAAGUUCCGACCUGCACGAAUGGCGUAAUGAUGGCCAGGCUGUCUCCACCCGAGACUCAGUGAAAUUGAACUCGCUGUGAAGAUGCAGUGUACCCGCGGCAAGACGGAAAGACCCCGUGAACCUUUACUAUAGCUUGACACUGAACAUUGAGCCUUGAUGUGUAGGAUAGGUGGGAGGCUUUGAAGCGUGGACGCCAGUCUGCGUGGAGCCAACCUUGAAAUACCACCCUUUAAUGUUUGAUGUUCUAACGUUGGCCCCUGACCGGGGUUGCGGACAGUGUCUGGUGGGUAGUUUGACUGGGGCGGUCUCCUCCCAAAGCGUAACGGAGGAGCACGAAGGUUAGCUAAUCCUGGUCGGACAUCAGGAGGUUAGUGCAAUGGCAUAAGCUAGCUUGACUGCGAGCGUGACGGCGCGAGCAGGUGCGAAAGCAGGUCAUAGUGAUCCGGUGGUUCUGAAUGGAAGGGCCAUCGCUCAACGGAUAAAAGGUACUCCGGGGAUAACAGGCUGAUACCGCCCAAGAGUUCAUAUCGACGGCGGUGUUUGGCACCUCGAUGUCGGCUCAUCACAUCCUGGGGCUGAAGUAGGUCCCAAGGGUAUGGCUGUUCGCCAUUUAAAGUGGUACGCGAGCUGGGUUUAGAACGUCGUGAGACAGUUCGGUCCCUAUCUGCCGUGGGCGCUGGAGAAUUGAGGGGGGCUGCUCCUAGUACGAGAGGACCGGAGUGGACGCAUCACUGGUGUUCGGGUUGUCAUGCCAAUGGCACUGCCCGGUAGCUAAAUGCGGAAGAGAUAAGUGCUGAAAGCAUCUAAGCACGAAACUUGCCCCGAGAUGAGUUCUCCCUGAGACUUUAAGUCUCCUGAAGGAACGUUAAAGACGAUGACGUUGAUAGGCCGGGUGUGUAAGCGCAGCGAUGCGUUGAGCUAACCGGUACUAAUGAACCGUGAGGCUUAACCUUACAACGCCGAAG